Molecule: transfer RNA, 61 nt
Filed under: Vibrio cholerae
Lineage: Bacteria; Pseudomonadati; Pseudomonadota; Gammaproteobacteria; Vibrionales; Vibrionaceae
Also listed under: 1 other name
Description: tRNA-Arg
Rfam family: tRNA
About the family: Transfer RNA (tRNA) molecules are approximately 80 nucleotides in length. Their secondary structure includes four short double-helical elements and three loops (D, anti-codon, and T loops).
Source: RNAcentral
GUAGCUCAGCUGGAUAGAGUACCUGGCUACGAACCAGGCGGUCAGAGGUUCGAAUCCUCUC